RNAcentral lists this ribosomal RNA (1316 nucleotides) under Alosa chrysochloris (skipjack shad). Its description in RNAcentral is "partial 16S ribosomal RNA". It matches the Rfam family "Bacterial large subunit ribosomal RNA", at positions 539 to 2568 of the family's 2925-position model. Lineage: Eukaryota; Metazoa; Chordata; Actinopteri; Clupeiformes; Clupeidae. The record is from RNAcentral.
UGAAAUAACGCACUAAAGUAAAUAAAAGCAGAGACUACAUCUCGUACCUUUUGCAUCAUGAUCUAGCCAGUAACCUCAAGCAAAGAGACCUCUAGUUUGAACCCCCGAAACCGGACGAGCUACUCCGGGGCAGCCUAUUGUAGGGCCAACCCGUCUCUGUGGCAAAAGAGUGGGAAGACCCCCGAGUAGAGGUGAAAGACCUACCGAGUCAGGUUAUAGCUGGUUGCCCAAGAAAUGAAUAGAAGUUCAGCCCCGCUACGCCCUCACCCACAACAGUUUUACUUAAACAAGGCAUAAAGGACACCCGCGGGAGUUAGUCAAGGGAGGUACAGCUCCCUUAACAAAGGACACAACCUUAAACAGGAGGCUAAGGAAUAUAUUAAACUAAGGCCCUAGGUUUCAGUGGGCCUAAAAGCAGCCACCUGAACAGAAAGCGUUAAAGCUCAGACCAAUCCAAGCCUAUUAUAACAUUAAAAUCUCCAAAGCCCCUAGUAUUACUGGGCCAUCCUAUGCCCCCAUAGGAGGGACCAUGCUAGAACGAGUAAUAAGAAGAAAGACCUUCUCCCAGCACGUGUGUAAGUCGAAUCGGACACCCCAUCGACAAUUAACGAACCCAACAAAAGAGGGCAAUGCCCGACCGCCGCCCCAGGCCAAGAAAACCAGGCAAUAGAACAUCGUUACCCCCACACAGGAGUGCUUAAACCAAGGGAAAGACUUAAAGGAUAAAAAGGAACUCGGCAAACCAAAACCCCGCCUGUUUACCAAAAACAUCGCCUCCUGCCACCACUAAUUAUAGGAGGUCCCGCCUGCCCUGUGAUCGAAAGUUUUAACGGCCGCGGUAUUUUAACCGUGCAAAGGUAGCGCAAUCAAUUGUCUUUUAAAUGGAGACCUGUAUGAAUGGCAUAACGAGGGUUUAACUGUCUCUUUUUCCCGGUCAAUGAAACUGAUCUACCCGUGCAGAAGCGGGUAUAUACACACAAGACGAGAAGACCCUAUGGAGCUUUAGACGUCAACCAACCACGAAAAGCGGCCACUGACUGGACCCUCAAACAACGUGAUUAUGGCACAAGCGUCUUCGGUUGGGGCGACCACGGGAGAUAACAAAGCUCCCGAGUGGAUAGGGGGACACCCUAAAACCCAGAGCCACAGCUCUAAGUCACAAAACAUUUGACCAAUAAUGAUCCGGCUUUAUGCCGACCAACGAACCAAGUUACCCUAGGGAUAACAGCGCAAUCCCCUCCCAGAGUCCAUAUCGACGAGGGGGUUUACGACCUCGAUGUUGGAUCAGGACAUCCUAAUGGUGCAGCCGCUAUUAA